This is a non-coding RNA of Pelobates cultripes (western spadefoot toad), 221 nucleotides long. Lineage: Eukaryota; Metazoa; Chordata; Amphibia; Anura; Pelobatidae. The record is from the annotation of a GenBank genome assembly.
GGUGGCCUUACCCUUGAUUUUGACCGUGUUCGGCAUGACGAGAUCUGAGAAGGAACAGGGCCUACGCUCAGCCCAGGAUAGACUGUUCGAUCUCAGUGGACCGUUGACACAAAUUUUCCUUAGGCCUGAUAAUGUCCUAAACGGUGGAGCUCUGGUUGAUGCCCAUCUCCUUCGGGAGUGGGCUCAAAGGGAUAGUUGUCUCCUGGGUAAUACCAAUGUGG